CAGUCGCCACGGGAAUACGAAGGGUGCAAGCGUUAAUCGGAAUUACUGGGCGUAAAGCGUGCGUAGGCGGUUUGUUAAGUCUGCUGUGAAAUCCCCGGGCUCAACCUGGGAAUGGCAGUGGAUACUGGCAAGCUAGAGUGUGUCAGAGGAUGGUGGAAUUCCCGGUGUAGCGGUGAAAUGCGUAGAGAUCGGGAGGAACAUCAGUGGCGAAGGCGGCCAUCUGGGACAACACUGACGCUGAGGCACGAAAGCGUGGGGAGCAAACAGGAUUAGAUACCCGCGUAGUCCCUGUCUCUUAUAA
Molecule: ribosomal RNA, 301 nt
Filed under: uncultured bacterium
Lineage: Bacteria
Description: partial 16S ribosomal RNA
Rfam family: Bacterial small subunit ribosomal RNA
Source: RNAcentral